CGCACCCUAGCAACAUUGCCGGGAUCACCAAAUGCAUUGUGCUCGGUGUGAAAGAAGUUGCUUUCCUUAGCCAAGUCAACACAUAAACUAUGUAACAAGUCAUGUAUGCGACAACUUGAAAUUCUUCCAUCAUAUGUCCUUUUGGCAACUUGAAUCAUGUUUCUUGAAACCAAAUCAUUUAGGACAUCAUCCGCCACACUUUCAGCCUCUCGCCCAUUGCCACUAUUUACAACUAUCAACUUCUCAGCAAUCCACAUAUUUGUCAAAUCAAAAGCACGAAUUUCAUGAUCCUCGGGGUAAAGGCCAAAAUACAAGAAACAUGGCCUUAAUGCAAUUGGCAAAUCAUUGUAACUCAGAGCCAAUACCUUAGCACAUCCAUCUUGAACUUUAUGGCUCAUACUCUCAAGUACUCUGUUCCAUGCACGUUCUGUUCUUUCUCUUGCCCUUAACAUGCCUGCGGUCACCUCAAUGGCUAGAGGUAUACCUCCACAUCUCCCAACUAUAUUUCUACCAAUAUCUACCAACUCUGGUGAAGCAUUGGCCCAAUUAUUAUUGUUAUCAAAAAUAAAGAUUUUCUUGGUAAAGAGUUCAAAACUGUUCUCCGAAUUUAGAGGUUGCAACACGUGAAUUGAGAAAUCCCCUCCUAUAUAUCUGACUACAUUACUAUUUCGAGAGGUUAUAAUUAUCCUACUGCCAAUUUUUGAAUCACAUUCAGGAAAGACAAGUUUUAGAUCAUCCCAAAUUUCAACAUCCCAAAUGUCAUCUAAGAGGAUAACAUACCUUUUUAUUUUCAAGAGUGACCGUAGGUUGUUCUCCAAGUUUUCUUUCCUUUCAUCUUCCGUCAGUCCAACUUGUUUGGCUAUGUCCUGUAAGAUUUCUCCCGCCCUUGGCUGUUGUGAAACGUAGACCAGUCCCCGAACACUCAAAUUGAUGACGGACAUGCCUAUAAAGUUUCUUGGCAAGAGUUGUUUUUCCCAAUCCGGGCAUGCCAACUAUUGAAACAACUCCAUAAGGCAAAUCUUGAUCAAGUAAUUUGGCUUGUAGCAUUUUGAAGUCAUCAUCCAAACCGAUGACCUCUGUUCAUCAGCAUGAAGGAAUAAUCUUCUCUUGGUCCAAUGGAAUGCAAUCAUCAUUAUUGUUGUUACUUGUAUCCAUGAUGUUGUAAGUUGUCCUUACACGGUCAAUAUCAGCAACUCUCUUUUUAUCUUCUCAAUCUCCAUAGCAAACUCAUCGGCAAAAGAAACCGUCUUAAGGCAACAAAUGAACUUAUUGGAUUGUUGAAUUUUUGGAAGAAACUCAUCUAAUAGAUCCUCCACAUCACCUGCCAGUUGUUGAAUAUCUUUUAAUAAGUUUUUGACCCUUGAAUCGCCUCCAACUUCCUUGGCCUUUGCAUCGUCUACAUAUGAUCGAAUGUGUCUCAUUUCUCUCUGGAGCCAAUCGAUGUCUUCUUUCAACCAAUAUAAACGCGUUCCUUGUUGAAAGAGUAGAUUUCCAGCUAUUUCUACAGAUUUAUUGAUGACUGCUGUAAGAAGAAUUUCAGCCAUUUCUUUUUCAGUAGCUACAAAAAACUGAUCAGAAUGAUUAAUUAGGAAAAGUAAGAAAAAGAAGAUCAGCUUAUACUAUAUAUUUGCUUUUGCUUUUUAGUGAUAGCUGGAGUCCAUGGCAAAGUCUCCUAAUAAUGUCAAGUAAAGGUGGGGCAGCUGCACACGAAUCAAAAAGGAGAAAUACAUUAUACUCUCAUCUUAUUAUAACAAUCAUUUUCGGUAACAAUAUAUUUUUUUUCUUUUUUUUAAAGAACUAUUGUUAUAUUAUAAGUGGUUUUUUUUAUAUAUACAUUAUACUAUAAACAUUUCAGGACAAACGACUUCCUUUAUAAAGGUUUGAUUGUAUGAGUACGUAGCAAAAAAAAUUUGAAAGCAUCAAAUCGCAUAAAAACCUAAAAAUUCAUGGAACAUACAAAUUGAGUCUUAUAAUAGCCCAAAUUGGGUAAAGUUUUGCAAGGGACGGACGGAAUAAUUUAUUUUCACUAUUCUACUGGCAUCUUAUCUACUGCAUGUGCGUCCUACUGUGGACUCCAACAAUAAAGCAAAUAGUUGAUCACUUCAGACUUAUUCCAUCAACUAUUUGAAUACAGUGAUAUUUCAAAAAGAAAAUAGUAAAUAAUUGAGAGAAGUAUUGAAAACGUACCCCUCUAAAUUUGGUGUCAAUUAUUAGUUUUAUCUUUGAACUAUUGACAAUUUUAAAAACAUAUUUUUACUUGACUAACUGAACUUACAAGUUACAUAUAGCCCAAUCUUGCAAUAUGAGUGAAAUACACCCUUAAAUUUUCGUCAAGUUUAGGAGUAUUUUAAUUUCAACACUUAUCUCGAUUUUUUAUUAAGAGUAUUAUGCUUCUAUAAGAGUUUGAGACCACUUGUCAUGUAACUGAUCGGGGCGUUCGGCGGUUUCGUUGCGCUGUAGUGGAUUUGAGUUAUAAAUCUUUAAGUAAAAGUAGCUAUACAUUAUGUAUCGAUCUACUAUUCAUUGUAAUUAAUUAGACAUGAACUAAGUAACAAACAAAAAUUAGUUUAUCGAGGAUAUUAAACGUAAAUAAUUAUAGUGGCCACUAACCUGUAGACACAUUGAUAUUAAACGUAAAUAUUCAAUGAAUUUUUAACAUAAAUAUAUGAUUUUAGCUAAUAUUAUUAAAUUUUAUUGAACACAUAGCUAGAAUUCUAACUUUGAUUGUGUGAGAUUUUUAGUUUUUGCAGAAUUUUUUAGCAAACAAAAGUCAUUAUUAGGAAGGCCAGCUCCUUAUGAUACCUUGUAAGAUGGAUUUUUUAAACUUUUAUGUUGAAAUCUUUUAUAGUUUGGGGAUGAAAUGUGUAGAAAUUUUAUUCUUUAAAGAUGUAUACCUUGUGUUUGACAUAAAUAAAACCAAAACACACAUAAACAAAAAAUUGAUUAAAGUAUACUUGUAUUUUUAUUUUUAUUUCAAAUUAUUGAAUGUUGGAGUUAUAAUCAGGAGUCUGGUCAUGACCAAUUCUACACCUUAAAAUGAAAUGUAAAUAUAGUCCUACAAAUUAUAAACUCAACAAAUAUUGGGGUCGAUUCCAUGAAGAGUGUGUGCAUGUGUCAAUGUGUCCAAAAGUGUGUAUUUGUGAAUUUCCUAAAUUUUGUGUGCGUGUGUAAUUAAACAAUUUAUUUACUACUAGUUCUAACUAUUCCCUCCAUUUCAUAUUAAUUUAAUUUUUAAGGUAUUUUUUAUUUUUUAAAUUAAUUUAAUUGUUCAGUUUUCAAAACUACUUUUAGAGUGUUCUUCCAAUUUUACCCUUCAUUAGUUAGUAUUGGAAUUAGCGAUUAAUUAAUAUUUAGUUAUUUUAAUCAUAAAUUUGAUAAUAAUUAAUAAGGGUAAAAAUAGAAAACUAUAUUCAAUUUAUGUCUUAAUCUACUUUUUUUAAAGGGUGUAAAACACCUCAAAAUUAAAUUAAUAUGAAAUGGAGGGAGUAUUUUGUAAUAAUCAAAUAUAAAUUAAAGCAAAAAAGAAAAAGAAAAAUAGUAGGUGUACCUGAUAGGUUGGAAUUUGGCUGAUGCAGUUCCUUGAUUGGAGUAAAUAUUAAUUAUAAGUGUUUUUUUUUUCAAAAGAUGGAAAUUGACAAAUUAACCAAGCACCUCAAUUCUAUUUAUAAGUAUCUUUUAAAAAAAUAUAUAUAUUAGUUCAAUACUUGAAUUGAAUGUGAGGGUAAGAUGGGUCAUAAUUUCCAAAUUAUUCUUUACUUGAAACAAUAUAUAGGCAUCUUACCUUUUUUCUCAUGAAAAAGCAAAAGGAAAGUAUAAUGUUGGAGAAUUAAAAAAAUAAUAAUCAUGUUUUCACUUUUGUCUGGAUGUAAAUGUUACAAAAGAAAUAAAUGAAUAUUUCAAACGGAAGUAUUUUUCGUGAAGAACUCUUUUUUUUCCACUUUAGUUGUAACUAUUCAUUCUAUAGUUCUAUUCCAUAUUAGUUGAUCAUUUUAUUAAAAAAUAUAAUUGUCCAUUUUUAUAAAUUAAGAAAGCAUUAAUUAAUUUUUUUCCUAUAUUAUUCAUGCAAUUAAUUCUUUUUUUAAAUGUUCAUAUUUGUUUGUUAAAUUUCCAAUAAAAAAUUUCAGAGAUGAAUCAAUAAACUGAACUUCUUAUUUAUGAUUUCUUGAUAUGCUUGUAAAAAGGAAAAUGAUCAACUGAGAUCGGGAGAGUAAUAAAAUAACUUGCAAUUCGCGUGAUAGUGAAGAAAAUUAUAUACAUUCCCUUUAUUAAAGAAAAUACUUUAAAAAGGAAAAGUAAUACUUUCAAUUAUUUUACAAAUAUAUUUUAUUAAAUAAUCUAUAAUAUACAAAAUAAAUAUUAUGAUUUUUAAUUGAGAAAGGUAACGAUCACCAAUAAUGAAGAAAAAAAGUACUACAAUUACUACUUGAGAAAUAUCAUUACACUAAUAAUAAAAAUAUGAUUUAAAGUAAAAAAGUUUCAAAAAAUAAUAAUAAUAUCUGAAGCCUACACGUGAAGUGAGGAAUCUCCUCCUAUGUAUCUGCCUACAUUACUAUUUCGAGAUGUGAUUAUUAUCCUACUGCCAAUUUUUGAGUCAGGAAGGAAAAAAUUCAGAUAAUUCCAAAUUUCAACAUCCCAAAUGUCAUCUAAGAGGAUAACACACCUUUUUCUUUGCAAGAGUGAGCUUAGGUUGCCUUCCAAGUUCUCUUUCCUUUCCUGUUCCGUCAGUCCAACUUGUUUGGCAAUGUCCUGUAAGAUUUCUCCUGCCCUUGCCUGCUGUGAAACAUAGACCAAUCCUGAACAUUCAAAUUGAUGACGGACAUGCCUAUAAAGUUUCUUGGCAAGAGUUGUUUUUCCUAAACCGGGCAUGCCAACUAUUGAAACAACUCCAUAAGGCAAAUCAUGAUCAAGUAAUUUGGCUUGUAGCUUAUUGAAGUCAUCAUCCAAACUGAUGACCUCUAUUUCAUCAGCAUGAAGGAAUAAUCUUCUCUGGUCCAACGGAAUGCAAUCAUUAUUGUUGUUACUUGUAUCCAUGAUGCAUGUUAUAAGUUGUCCUUACACGAUCAAUACCCGCAACCCUUCGGCAAAAGAAACUGUCUUAAAGCAACAAAUGAACUUAUUGGAUUGUUGAAUUUUUGGAAGGAACUCAUCAAAGAGAUCCUCCACAUCACUUGCGAGUUGUUGAAUAUCUUUUAAUAAAUUUUUGACCCUUGAAUCGCCUCCAACUUCCUUGGCCUUUGCAUCGUCCACAUAUGAUUGAAUGUGUCUCAUUUCUCUCUGGAGCCAAUCGAUGUCCUCUUUCAACCAAUAUAAACGCGUUCCUUCUUGCACGAGUAGAUUUCCAGCUAUUUCUACAGAUUUAUUGAUGACUGCUGUGAGAAGAAUUUCAGCCAUUUUUUGUCUUUCUUUUUCAGUAUCAACAAAAAACUGAGUAUGAGUAAUUAGGAAAAGUAGGAAAAAAAGACGAUCAGUAUACUGUUUGCUUUUGCAUUUUAGUGAUAGCUGGAGUCCUAAUAAUGCCAAGUAAAUGAUAAACAAAAGAAACAAGAAAGGUGGGGCAGCUGCACACUAAUGGAAAAGGAGAAAUACAUUAUACUCUCAUCUUACUAUUAUACUCUAACAAUCAUUCUUGAUAACAAUAUAAUUUUUUCCUUUUUAAAAAAACUAAUGUAAUAUUAUAGUGUAUUAUAAGUGUUUUUUUUUAAAUAUCGUGUAAUUGAUUAGUUAUACUAAGAUGUUUACUUAGUUAUGUAGUUUUUUCGGAAAAAAAAAGUAUAUUAUCAAUCGGCCACAAAAAAUAAAAAAACUUAAAUUGGGACGGGCGGAAUAAUUUCUUUUCACUAUUCUACUGACAUCUUAUCCACUGCAUGUGUUGUCCUUAUUGUGGACUCCAACAAUAAAGCAAAUAGUUUAUCACUUUAGACUUAUUCCAUCAACUAUUUGAAAUUUCAAUUCACAAUUUUUGAAUAAAGUGAUAUUUCAAAAAGAUAAUAAAUAAUUGAGAGAACUAUUGAAAACGUACCCCUCUAAAUUUGGUGUCAAUUAUUAGUUUCAUUUUUGAACUAUUGACAAUCUUAAAAACAUUAUUUUACUUGACUAAUUGAACUUACAUACACACCGAUCUUACAACGUGAGUGAAAUACACCCUUAAAUUUUCGUCAAGUUUAGGAGUAUUUUAAUUUCAACACUUAUCUCGACUUUUUAUUAAGAGCAUUAUGUUUCUAUAAGAGUUUGAGACCACUUGCUAUGUCAUGUGACUGAUCGGGGUGUUCAGCGGUUUAGUUAGUCAAGUAGAGGGAUGGUUUUUAGACUGUCAAUAAUUUGUAGAUGAAACUAAUAAUAUUUUUUUCGAAUUUAUACCACUAAACAAAGAGUCUAGCCAUUUUUCUAAUAAUGUGCACUAAGUUUAAGGUGUUUUUCUAUACUUCUCUCUAAAUAAUUUUCAUAAUCAAACAUGAUGUUAAAAUAACUUUCUCAAUCUUGACAAUUGCUUAUUUACAAACUAUUAUGAAUUCGCCACUAUGGUAGACACACUGCUACCAAAACAAGAGGAUGCAUGUUGUACAUUAAUUCCAAAAACACCCUCUUCAAAAAGCAAGGUACAACACCUCUAAGCAGUAAAAUUACUCUCGAGUCCCUUACUAUUUGGAGCUAUUAAGCACAUAUAUAUUUUUUUUCACUCUGAAAAAGUCGAAAUAUAUACCCUUUGUCCUUGUGAUUAGCUUCAUAAUGUUUCAGAUAAAUAUAGAAGCUAUAUUUAUUGUGUCGCGUAAUUUAUUACUCCCUCCAUCUCAAUUUAUGUGAGAUAGUUUGAUUUGGUACGAAGUUUAAGAAAGAAAUGAAGACUUUUAAAAUUUGUGGUUCAAAAUGAAUUAUAUAAAUUUGUGUGGCUGUAAAUCAUUUCAUUAACGGUAAAGUAGACAUUUCAUAGUUAAAUUGUUACUUACUCCCUCCGUCCCAUUUUAUGUGGCAACAUUUUGACCCCGGCACGGGAGUUUAAGAAAUAAAUGAAGACUUUGAAAUAUUUACCAAAUUGCCCUUUAAAAAGUAGACUCACUUUUCUCUCUCCUCAUAAAUGUAUUGGAGUAUUAUUUUAAGAUUAAGUGAGACCAACAAGGGUAAAAGAGGAGUUGUACCUUUAAAUACUUACCAUAUAAGGAAAUGUGACAUUCUUUUUGGGACUGACCAAAAAGGAAAUGGUGCCACAUAAAAUGGGACGGAGGGAGUAAUAUAAAAAUGUGUCAUUCUCUUUUGGACAGAUCAAAAAGGAAAGUAAGUCACAUAAAUUGAUAUGGAGGGAGUAUUUAUCCAUCCAUUAUUCUCAUAAAAAUAUAAUUUGUUUAAUAUUACUAAAUCAAAAAUAACUUUUAACGGCAAUAUAUAUAUAUACAACAUUAUCAUCUUAGAGCUAUUAGCAAAGAUCGUAGGAAAUAUGUGUUCAAUGUCAGCAAGACCUCUAUUAAUUAAACACAUUUGGAGAGAGAUGAACCAAUGUGCCGAUUUUCUGGCAAACGAAGAGCACAAGCAUAAUGAAAAUUUGAUAGUAGCCACUAACCUGUAGACACAUUGAUAUUAAACGUAAAUAUUCAAUGAAUUUUGAACAUAAAUAUUUGAUUUUAGCUAAAAUUAUUAAAUUUUAUUGAACACGUAGCUAGAAUUCUAACUUUGAUUGUGUGAGAUUUUUAGUUUUUGCAGAAUUUUUUAGCAAACAAAAGUGUCAUUAUAAGGAAGGCCAGCUGCUUAUGAUACCUUGUAAGAUGAAUUUUAAAAAAAAUUAUGUGGAAAUCUUUUAUAGUUUGGGGAUGAAAUGUGUAGAAAUUUUAAUUCUUUUAAAGAUGUAUACCUUGUGUUUGACAUAAAUAAAACCAAAACACAUAAAUAAAAAUUUGAUUAAAGUAUACUUGUAUUUUAUUUUUUUCAAAUUAUUGAAUGCUGGAGUUAUACUCUGGAGUUUGGUCAUGACCAAUUCUACACCUUAAAAUGAAAUGUAAAUACAGUCGUACCAAUUAUAAACCCAACAAAUAUUGGGGUCGAUUCCAUGAAGAGCGUGUGCAUGUGUCAAGGUGUCCAAAAGUGUGUAUUUGUAAAUUUUCUAACCUUGGACUUUUAUUGAUCCACACAGAAAAAAAAAAAACCCAAAACCCAAGAAUUGGGUCAAUAGUUUUUAAUGGUUUUAUAAAAAAAUUAUUGGAUUAUCGGUUCGGUUUUGACCUUUUAUAAUGGGUUAUUGGGUAUACUGAUAACCCAAUAAGAUUAUAGUAAUAUAGUACUUUACGCUUACAUAAAUAUUAAAUAUUAAUCUCAAUACCUUACUAGUUAGUACAUUUGUCCUAUAGCCUUAGCUUCAAACUUCAUAGUGACUUUGAGUUCAAAACUUCACAUUAUACAAAACGUCAAAAUAUAAAGUAAGAACAUUAUUCCUAUUAAUUUCUCUUUGUGUUACACUUGUAUAGUUCUCUCAAUGUUAAUUAUUAUUAUUUCUAUUUUAUGAGCAUUUGUUAGAGAAGUCAUAUAUUUAUUUUAUAAGCAUUUUCUUAUUGGUUAAACCAAUUGAUAGAUAAACCAUAACCAAAAACCGAUAAAAUGAAAUGACAAUACAUAAAAUUGACCCGAAUCGAUCGAUGCAAAGCCAUAACUUAUAUUGUAAACUUUGAUUCUUGAAGAAGAAAAUAAACUAAAGCUACUAAUUCCAAAGUAAAUAUACAUAAGACAAUAAAUAAAUCUUUUAUAAAUCACAAGCCACAAAUACGUCAACUUCAUGAAGCAAUCAAACAUUUAAUUUAUUUAUUUCAAAUACAAACAGGCAUCAGAAGAUGCUCUCCAGCAAAGACUUAAUCAUUCUCAAAUGCAUCUGCAAUUUAUUAGACAUAAAAUAUUAAGUUGAUGAAUUAAUUAAUAAAAAAUGAGCUUAUUCAGAGAUAUUAAAAGUAAAUAAUUAACCUGUUGACACAUUGGGAUUUUCAUACUCUCAGCUUUGCAAGACGUUCCGAGAGCCUAACGUCGGAAGUGGUAUCUAUACGUAAAAAUAGCUUUUUCAAUUUAGGCAUAAUCAUAUCAUCCCUGCAACUUACUUCAGACAACCCACAUGCAUACUCAAUAUGCAAAACUUCAAGUUGCGGAAAGCUAUCACCAUCACCACAGAGAUCCAUCUUUUCUUCAUUAUGUUUGCACCAAAGCAUUUUAAGUAUCCUUAAUUUGGGCAAUUUCUUAAGCACUGCCACUACAUGACCGUCUACCUCCAAGUUGUGAAGAGUAAGCUUGACAACAUUUGGAGGGAAUGCUUCACAGUUCAAGCGCAUUGUUCUGCAAAUUCUCAAAUGCAACUUAACAAUAUUUGGAUAGGACGACAAGUUUAUUUUCUCACUCAUCAUGUACCUCAAAAAUCUGAGCUUCAAAACCUCCAGCGCCUUUGGCACAGGGCUCAAUGUUGAUAAUAUCUUAACCGUAGAACCAUAUGAGCACUCUAUACCCAGUUUUCUUAUAUUGAUCAAUCGGUGCAACAAUCUCGGUUCAAAAAAAUUAUAAUCAUCCAUCCACAUCAAAGUUUGUAGAUUAUUAGGAGGCAAUGAUGAGUACACAUUUGGAAAAAAUGGGAUUAUAGAAAAGCAAUACAUACAUACUUUAUCGAAAGAUUUAUAACGAAGAUGUCUCAAUUGUGUAGACUUCAAAACACCAGUAGGAAGAUCAAUGAAGCUUUUACCAAUAUCUAGGGUCUCUAGAUGUUUGAGCUUCAACAUACAAUUCGGCAGUUUCCCAUAAAUAUCCCCCUCCAAUCGAAGAUAGCGUAAGCAACUCAUGUUUCCAAACGUGUUUGGGACACCACAACAAUCAUAAUAGGACAUGACUACAACCAACACUUGCAAUAAUUUGAAAUCAAGAUGAGCCAGUUGAGAAAAUAUGCAAGGGUCUGUUGUGAAACAGAAAAGUGCACGAAGCUUCUUAGGCUUAGGAUUUGAACGAAAGAACUCAUUCAUGGCAUUAUUAUCCGAGUAGAAUGUAAUUCUUCGCACCCUAGCAACAUUGCCGGGAUCACCAAAUGCAUUGUGCUCGGUGUGAAAGAAGCUACUUUCCUUAGCCAAGUCCACACACAAACUAUGUAACAAGUCAUGUAUGCGACAACUUGAAAUUCUUCCAUCAUAUGUCCUUUUGGCAACUUGAAUCAAGUUUCUAGAAACCAAAUCAUUUAGAAUAUCCUCAGCCAAACUUUCAG
RNAcentral lists this long non-coding RNA (10207 nucleotides) under Solanum tuberosum (potato). RNAcentral describes it as "long non-coding RNA (STUB_LNC009470)". The record is from RNAcentral. Lineage: Eukaryota; Viridiplantae; Streptophyta; Magnoliopsida; Solanales; Solanaceae.